Molecule: ribosomal RNA, 493 nt
Filed under: uncultured bacterium
Lineage: Bacteria
Description: partial 16S ribosomal RNA
Rfam family: Bacterial small subunit ribosomal RNA
Source: RNAcentral
GACGAACGCUGGCGGCGUGCUUAACACAUGCAAGUCGAACGCUGAAGCCCUUUCGGGGGUGGAUGAGUGGCGAACGGGUGAGUAACACGUGGGUAAUCUGCCCUGUACUUCGGGAUAAGCCUUGGAAACGGGGUCUAAUACCGGAUAGGACCUGUCCUCGCAUGGGGGUGGGUGGAAAGUUCCGGCGGUAUGGGAUGAGCCCGCGGCCUAUCAGCUUGUUGGUGGGGUAGUGGCCUACCAAGGCGACGACGGGUAGCCGGCCUGCGGGGGUGACCGGGAACACGGGGACUGGGACGCGGCCCAGACUCGUACGGGGGGCAGGAGUGGGGAAUCUGGCGUAAGGGGCGAAAGCCUGACGCAGCAAGGCCGCGUGGGGGAUGACGGCCGUCGGGUGGUAAACCCCUUUCGACAUCGACGAAGGCGCCCUGUUGUGGGGUUUUGACGGUAGGUGUAGAAGAAGCACCGGCUAACUACGUGCCAGCCGCCGCCGUAA